Molecule: ribosomal RNA, 29 nt
Filed under: Pyropia pseudolinearis
Lineage: Eukaryota; Rhodophyta; Bangiophyceae; Bangiales; Bangiaceae
Description: partial 5.8S ribosomal RNA
Source: RNAcentral
CUUAUUGUCUCUGGACGAUAAAAACAUAA